CUUAGUAGAAACGCAACGUUGGUUAGACGCUUUGUCGUCUUGGUGGUGGACAAAGUCUACAACUACUCCAUAUUCUUGACUUGUACCUCAUGGAGGAAAUAUAAUGCAGGAGCCUCUUGUCCUGGAAGGCCACCGUCGCUUCACUGACAGGAGGGGUGAGCAGUGGAGUGUUUCAAUCUAGAAUCUGACCAUCAGACAUCACUAAACAUUCCCAUUUCUACACACUGAUCCUUUUAAAGAAAACGAUAAUAAAACAUUGUUUUUUCAUCCACCCCCCUCAGGCACAUUACAGCACCAUGGAGCCACGGUUAACACAGUUACAUCAGCAGCGGCCUGGCUAACAAACUAAGCAUCUGUUCUCCCUCCCUAUUCUCUGCCUCUAAUGUCGUUAAGCCCGAUCCAAGACACUAUGUUACCAUUGACUGCAGAGUAAUGAUGCAUAGCUACUGAUCCUUCCAACACUUUCUGUCUUUAUGAGACCACUGGGUUGCUCCCACCUCUCAGAUAAGCCCCUUUUUUUCAAACCAGUGGGUUUCAAACCACCUAACACCAAAAAGCUGGUGUAAUUAAGUAUUGAUCACAGACAGCAGGUCAAGUAUUCAAUAACAGAGCUGCUUAAUUGCAAGGCAUUUGUCUCAGAGAAAAACUAAUGAACAUCUGUCA
This is a long non-coding RNA of Notolabrus celidotus (New Zealand spotty), 663 nucleotides long. RefSeq lists it as uncharacterized. The record is from RefSeq and is a predicted model, not a curated record. NCBI's taxonomy places the organism in Eukaryota, Metazoa, Chordata, Actinopteri, Labriformes, Labridae. The transcript is spliced from 3 exons.